This 238-nucleotide long non-coding RNA is filed under the name Mytilus galloprovincialis (Mediterranean mussel). The record is from RNAcentral. Lineage: Eukaryota; Metazoa; Mollusca; Bivalvia; Mytilida; Mytilidae.
GGACAUUGUAAAAAUAAAAUUUGCAGUGAACUUUAUUUUGACAGUUCGAAUCUUAAAUGUUUGACUUUAACACAAAAUUCAACUUUUAAAACUGAGAAUUCCAACGUUUCCUCAGUAUUUAAAGUUUGAUGUAAGUAUUCAAAAGCAAUUAUUGCAACUUUAGAAGGAAGUGAAAUGGACGAAAAGUAUUAAAGCAUCAUCCACACAUUUUGAUGAUUUAUCUUUAUUCGGAAAGAAC